This 145-nucleotide unclassified non-coding RNA is filed under the name uncultured Zasmidium. RNAcentral's name for it is "sequence contains ITS2". Lineage: Eukaryota; Fungi; Ascomycota; Dothideomycetes; Mycosphaerellales; Mycosphaerellaceae. The record is from RNAcentral.
CACCACUCCAGCCUGGCUGGGUAUUGGGCGCCGCGGUUCGCCGCGCGCCUUAAAGUCUUUCCGGCUGAGCGACCCGUCUCUAAGCGUUGUGAUCUCAUCAUUCGCGGCGAGCGCGGGGCGUCGGCGGCCGUUAAAUCUUUCUCCA